AUGUGUCUAUUAAUUGAUAUGGAAAAAAAAUGUGUUCCAAACUUAUCUUAAGCGCGUCAGAAGUUCAAACAACAUACUUUUCCUUUUUUUAAAAAAAAAAAAAUCUUUUCCAGAAACCACCAUUAACGCCACCCUACCACCACUGCUUCGCCAUUGUCGCCGCCACAAAAGUCCUACCACCUUAGCAGCAUAGAAACAUCAUCCAACUCUGCCAUACCAUUGUCACAAUCCGCCUCCCUUCCACCAUGGAUUAUCUUUGCGCUGCCAUCAUCUUGCCCUAAAGCCACCACCGUCUUCUUACAGAACCUCACACUCCGGCCACCAUGAAAGCCCCUGGAGCCAUCACAGAACCUCUUUUUACCACAAACAUCUUCUUCCUUCAUAUCCACCUCAAAAUGCUACCAAUGAACCCCUCCAUUAGAUCACUCUCCACCAUCGAACAACCCACACAACCACAACAUUUCAACGCUCCGUUACCGCUGCCACCACAAGAAAUUCAGUCGCCAACGAAAUCCGACCACCACAAACACCUCUAGCCAUUGUUUAUUUUUUCUUCUCUUCUAAUCGCCACCAUGAGCAUACCAUCGGAUAUUCUCCUUAAAUCACAACCAAAAUUCCUUUAAAGGGAGUGAGAGUGGGGUUUUCUGAAAUAGAAGCAGAAAGGGAGGGUAUUGGGUGGGGGAAGAAGAAAGGGAAGGUGGGAGGAAGAAGAAAAUGUUUUCUGAAAAUGAAGAAAAAAAGGAAGGAUGGGGAGGAGGACUUGCUGCACCGUACGCCGGUGACGGCAGAGGAGUGGGGCAGCGAUUUUUUCCCCGGAAAAGGGUCAGAAUUGCCCUUAACGUAUAAAAAAUGGUCUAAAAAUUACAAAGUGUAAUCCCACUUAGUGGGGUCUGGUGAAAAUUACAAAGUGUAAUCCCACUUAGUGGGGUCUGGAGAGCGUAGUGUGUACUGUGGGUCCUCGUCUUGGCAAAGAAUGAAUAACGAAUAUAGUAUGAAGUGAAAGUUAGAAAAUUUAUUUUGGGAAGAAUAUUUUAUGAAUUCAAAUAUAUUACUCCCUCCGUUUCAAUUUAUGUGAACCUAUUUAACUGGGCACGGAGUUUAAGAAAAGAGAGAAGACUUUUGAACUUGUGGUGUAAAAUGAAGCACAUAUAUUUUGUGUGGCUAUAAAUCAUUGCAUUGCAUAAAGGUAAAUUGUUUUCAAAUAGGGAAAGAGGUCAUUCUUUUUGGCACGGACUAAAAAGGAAAUAGGUUCACAUAAAUUGAAACGGAGAGAGUAUUAAGGAUAAACUAGUAAAAGCUUUGGCCAAAAUAAAAGUGCUUGCUGAAAUGUCGUAAGUUGGGGGUGACGAACUUAUGACUUAAGGCUAAUUUUAACUUAUAAGCACUUUGGGUGUUUACCAAACUCGUAUAUAAGCCAGUUUAACCGGCUUAUAAGCUUAGCCAAAUAAACUGGCACCCCAUUUUUUGGGGCCAACCCCGGUACCCCCCCCCCCCCAAACCAUAACCAACUUUACCAUGCAAUCGUGCAUGCAACUUUAUCAACGUUUAACCUAUUUCAAUUUGCUGUCACAUUAUAUUUCCAGUUCCAUAAGUUUGCUUUCCUAUUCCGGCAUUAAUGUAAAUCUACAGUCAGUUUUACUGAUGAUAGUAAUAUAUAUCUCUACCUGCAUAUUGAUAUUCAAUAUACAAACAUGCAGAAUAAUAUACUUUUCCUUUGGGAUGGCCCCUUUUCCUCCCUCACGAUAUUGCUUUUGUUUUCUUAAUUCCCUCACUAUAUAAUUAUUUUUCUUUCUUGUUUAUAAUUCUUUCGUUCUCCUAGCUAUUAUCAAGAGGAUCACUCUAUAUAAUUCUCCCUUUUUACAACAAAAAAUUAUAAAUUGGGCUAACAAAUUAAAGCCUUUUUGUUCCUGAAGGUAGGGGUAAAUAUGUGUACAUACUACCCUCUUCAGGCCCCGCUUGUGGGAUUAUAUUGGAUUUUCUUUUUGUUGUUGUUGUUCCUGAGCUGAAACUAAUUGAGUUUCGUGUUGUGGUGGUGGGGAGGAGAAGGGGGCAGGAUGAGCUUGGUGGUGAUCCAAAUAAUGGUGGUGGCCCUUCUCUUUGUCAAUAGUCACAGCUUCGCCAAUGCCGACACAGAUCCAUCUGACGGUCAGCUUCAAAUCCUGGCUCCACUUCUGCUCGAAAUGAAUAAAUUACUGAAUUGGUAUAAUCAUGGGACUGAUUGACCAUUAGUACAGAAGUUUCAAAAUAUAUAUAUAUAUAUAUAUAUAUAUAUUUUGAAACUUUUGUAAACUAAGAAAGAAUUUCGUUGUCACUCAACUUAUGAACAGAUGUGGAACACUUAAAUUAAAGGUGUUUGAUUGGGUACGAAGUUUAAUAAAGAAAACUUAUGAUCCAUAACAAACCAUAAAUAUCCAUGUAGCUAUAAAUCAUCUCAUUAAGAGUAAAAUUAGAAGUUUAAACUAGAGAAAAGUGUCAUUUUCUUAACAGAUUAAAAAGGAAUGUAGAUUGGUUACCUUGAAAAUUUCUUUUUCGUCUUCUUGAGCCGAUGGUCUAUUGAAAAUAGCCUCUCUGCCCCAUCGGGUAGGGGUAAGCUCUGUGUACACACUACACUUCUCAGAUCCCAUUUGUGAGAUUUUACUGAGUCGUCGUUGUUGUUGUUGUUAUAUGGCUAAUUUUCAGCUUCAGCCCUGAGAGUAAUGUAUAGCUCCCUAAAUUCACCGGCGCAGCUUACAAAUUGGAACUCAUCUGACGGUAGCGAUCCUUGUGGAGAAUUCUGGAAAGGCAUUACUUGCUCCGGCAAUAGAGUAACUGAAAUGUAACAUUGUUCUCUUCAAUAUAUACCCAUCCUAUCAUCAUUUUUCAACGCAUUUAUUGAUUUGCAACUAAUGUUGAUGUUUAGUUUUCAUAUUUCAUUUUCCUUCAGACAGAUAUCCGGUCUAGGACUCUCUGGAUCAAUGGGAUACCAAUUAACUAGUCUUACAUCUGUGACCAAUUUGUAAGAUUAAUGAAUUUCAAUUAUUUCCUUAAUUCCUUCUUUGAUUUGUGUUUAAGUCCUAGAAAUUGUAAUAUUUCGGGUAUUUUAAUUUGCAGUGACAUAAGCAACAAUAAUCUGGGAAACCAGAUACCUUAUCAGCUUCCUCCAAAUGUGCAGAGACUGUAUGUGUUUUUCUAUGGAAUUUAAUUUUUUGUCCUUAAUUCAAGGCUCUAGUCCUUUUUUUUUAAUUUACUAUUCAUACUGAGCCGAGGGUCGAUUGGAAACAGUCUCUCUAUCCUCACAAGGUAGGGGUAAGGUCUGCGUACAUACUACCCUCCCCUGACCCCCACGGUGUGGGAUAAUACUGGGUAUGUGGUUGUUGUUGUUGUACUAUUCAUACAUCAUUCUGACCAGUUGCCUCGUAACGCAGUAACCUUGCUGCUAAUGGUUUUACUGGUGGCUUACCUUAUUCGAUUUCACAAAUGACUUCCCUUCAAUACUUGUGAGUGAAAAUUUUAAAUUAAAAUCAUCUAUAUAGGUAACAUUAGGCUCAUUGUUCUAAUUUUCUCUCCAAUUGUUGUGUCUGGUUUUGUAGAAAUGUCAGUCAUAAUCAAAUUCAAGGAGAACUGAAUGACAUGUUUGGAUCACUUUCUUCUCUCAACACGUUGUAAGGCCUUCUCUUCAUUUCUUCCCUUUCUUAUAUAUAUACAUUGAAAUUACCCUGUUAUGAUUGAGAAGUUCAAUGUAUAAUGUGCUAUUCUUGAUAGAUAUAUAAACUUUCCCAAUCAAUUUAUUAUGCGAACUGUUCCCACCAAGUGCAAAAAGGUCCAAAGAUGCUUGUUUGUCGCCAUAUUAAUGAUGAGAAUGGGUUUGAUCCUUGACCUGAUCAGAGACGGAUCGAGGAUUUAAAUCAUAUGGGUUCAACUUUUAAAGUUUUUAGCAUUGAACCCAUUAUAUUUUUAAAAGUAUAGGUUCGUAUUUACUAUUUUUGCAAUUUUAAUGAAUUUUUACAUAUAAAUUGUUAUUUCGAGAAUGCACUACAUCCGCCCCUGGACCUGAUGCAUUGAAAUUUUAAGUUCUCAAAGUAUCAUGAGCAUAAAUUAGUCUUUGACAUGUAUCUUUUGUUUUUCCUGGUUGAUUACAUUUAUGCUUUGUCCAUUGUUGCUUACUUUUGGUUGUUUACAUUUAUGCUUCAGGGAUAUCUCUUUCAAUUCAAUGACCGGUAAACUUCCUCAAAGCUUCCAGUCACUGACUAGUAUGAAGAAAAUGUAAGACCGGUAUCUUCUGAUUCAUUUUUGUUCUGUAUUGGUUGAGUACUGUCCUUUCAGAUAUUGAAGUUCUAGUAUUAUGUUGUGCAGAUACCUGCAGAACAACCAGUUUACAGGAAAUAUUGAUGUCCUCGCCAAUCUUCCUCUUGACAAUCUGUGAGUUAUUCACAUCUUUGUGUGUGUAAAUGUUAUCCCUGAUGUCAAAUGUUUCAUUUCCAGGCUUACAGUAAUUUAUUGUUUGUCAUGUUGAUUCCUUCAUGCUUUAGGAGUCUUGAAAACAAUCAGUUUACUGGCGCGAUACCCGAGAAGUUAAAAGGGAUAUUGCAGUGAGUGUUUCAGUACAUUAUUAAUUAUUGUUCAUCAUUGAUAGAUAAUAACUUUAUAUUCAAUUCGGGACUUGUGAUACGAUUGUAGAAAAUCUAAUAGUAACACAGGAAGCUCAGGGCCAGCCCCUCCGCCUCCACCUGGCACAACCCCCCCGAAUCACAAAUCCGGAGGCAAUGGCAGCCCUUCCAGUGGUGGAGGUAGCAGUGAUAGAAAUGAGAAAUCUGGUAUAGACAGUAGAGGCGUUGCAGGUAUAGUCAUAUCAGUUUCAGCGGUCGGCGCAGUUGCAGUUUUCUUUAUUAUCAAGAAAAGACAUAGAAAGUCGUCAACAGACAUAGAAAAACUUGACGUUCAGCCAUUCUCUCUUGAUUCACAGGAAGGACAAGGUAUAUAAUUUUGUGACUGCUGUUUUCUUUUGUUUUUGUUCAUUGAGAGUAAUAUUUAGUCCACAUGUUAUAUAUCUACGUGGUUUUUUGAAAUAUGGCAUUAAAAGUUAUGAUUUAUUGUAGGCUUUAAUUAGAUUAUAAAUAACAACUUUAUGGACCAAAAAAUGUCCUAUCUUCAAAAGAGACAAAUUUCAAACCUAAAGCUGCAAAGACUUAAUGUUCGAAAUCCAGCAGAUUUUAUAAAGCAGGUUCUGAGUUACCUGAUGCUUUUGAAGCUUAACAUUACAAAGAAAAAGCUCAUUUUAUGCUCUCUUAUGGUGGAUAGGAUCCUUCCUGUCCAUGUUAGCUUAUUUGAAUAUAGAGCACAAUCUAUUGCGGUACAUCAGUAGAAUAAGAUAAAUUUGUUUUGGCAAGUUAGAAAAUCAGCACCCUUAUAAUCACAAAAAAUUUCAGAAAUGUAAUUGCCUUAUAAGAGCACUCAUAACUCAGGAUGCAAGUUCCAGAAAAGGGAAUGAUCAAUUCUCUUAUCCUUAUGGAAUUUCAUUUGUAACAUGGUCAAUUUCUUUAAAUUCUGUAUUGUCAUGUGAUCAGAGUUCCAGAUUGCAUUUGCCUCUUUUACUAAUAUUGUUUUCAUUGUGUUAGCUUUGGUACCUGGAUUUUGUAUUCAUCACCUAUUUUUGGCUGCAGAGAUGAAAAUUAGCCAAAAUUCCUCGACAACAAGCAUGAAAGCUGUAGAAACUCCCAGUGCAAUGACUCUAAGACCUCCACCAAUCAAUCAUCAUAAAUCCUUUGAUGGAGAUACUAUUUCAGAAAAACACAUUGUUCCUCAGAAUAAAACUCAUACAGCUCAAAUGAAUGUUGUACAAUAUUCAUUUGCAGACCUACAAAUGGC
RNAcentral lists this long non-coding RNA (5844 nucleotides) under Nicotiana tabacum (common tobacco). Its description in RNAcentral is "long non-coding RNA (NTAB_LNC008326)". Lineage: Eukaryota; Viridiplantae; Streptophyta; Magnoliopsida; Solanales; Solanaceae. The record is from RNAcentral.